RNAcentral lists this ribosomal RNA (345 nucleotides) under Parneometaculus persicariae. Its description in RNAcentral is "partial small subunit ribosomal RNA". Lineage: Eukaryota; Metazoa; Arthropoda; Arachnida; Trombidiformes; Eriophyidae. The record is from RNAcentral.
CCUAAAAUUAGGAGUGACGGGCGAUUUGUGCUUACCAAAUAAAUUUUUCAAAUUUUAUUUUAAUUUAAAUCUUUACUUUUAAGUCCUAUUUUAUUUUUAUUUUUUAAAUUUUUAUUAAAAUGUAUUCCAUAUUCUAAAAAUUAUAAUUUUUGUCUUGAUCUGUUUUUUUAUUAAUUAAUUUUUAUAAAAUUUUUUUUAAGAUUAAAACAAUGAUGUAAAGAAUUAUAAAUUUAUUAAAUUUUAUCGUGGGUUAUCUAUUAUGGUACAGAAUCCCCUAAAAGUUUUGAUACCGCCAUAUUGAUUAGUUUUUUCUUUAUUUAGAUACUUUCUUUUUUUUUUUUAAAA